UUUCCGUAGGUGAACCUGCGGAAGGGUCAUUACCGAGUGAGGGUCUCUCAGGCCAGACCUCCCACCCUGUGUUUUUGUGACCUUGUUGCUUUGUGGGGCCCGCCUCGAUGAGAGGCCGCCGGAACCCCACCGCUUUGCGCCCCUGCCCGUCAGUAGCCCCCUUAAUUUUUUAAUAAACCUGUCGGCUGGGUUAAUGGAUAUAAUGAAAAAAAACCUUCAACAACGGAUCUCUUGGUUCUG
This 240-nucleotide unclassified non-coding RNA is filed under the name plant metagenome. RNAcentral describes it as "partial contains small subunit ribosomal RNA, internal transcribed spacer 1, and 5.8S ribosomal RNA". The record is from RNAcentral.